Molecule: ribosomal RNA, 460 nt
Filed under: uncultured bacterium
Lineage: Bacteria
Description: partial 16S ribosomal RNA
Rfam family: Bacterial small subunit ribosomal RNA
Source: RNAcentral
CCUACGGGAGGCAGCAGUGAGGAAUAUUGGUCAAUGGGCGGAAGCCUGAACCAGCCAAGUAGCGUGCAGGAUGACGGCCCUACGGGUUGUAAACUGCUUUUAUACGGGAAUAACGCGCCUUACGUGUAGGUCUUUGCAUGUACCGUAUGAAUAAGGACCGGCUAAUUCCGUGCCAGCAGCCGCGGUAAUACGGAAGGUCCGGGCGUUAUCCGGAUUUAUUGGGUUUAAAGGGAGCGUAGGCCGCAUGUCAAGCGUGCUGUGAAAGGUCCGGGCUCAACCCGGGCCUUGCAGCGCGAACUGGCGUGCUUGAGUCCGCGGAAAGCAGGCGGAAUUCGUCGUGUAGCGGUGAAAUGCUUAGAUAUGACGAAGAACUCCGAUCGCGAAGGCAAGUGGCCGGGGUGCAACUGACGCUGAGGCUCGAAAGUGCGGGUAUCAAACAGGAUUAGAUACCCGAGUAGUC